GAUGAAGAACGUAGCGAAAUGCGAUAAGUAAUGUGAAUUGCAGAAUUCAGUGAAUCAUCGAAUCUUUGAACGCGCAUUGCGCCCCCUGGUAUUCCGGGGGGCAUGCCUGUUCGAGCGUCAUUUCACCACUCAAGCCUCGCUUGGUAUUGGGCAUCGCGGUCCGCCGCGUGCCUCAAAUCGACCGGCUGGGUCUUCUGUCCCCUAAGCGUUGUGGAAACUAUUCGCUAAAGGGUGUUCGGGAGGCUACGCCGUAAAACAACCCCAUUUCUAAGGUUGACCUCGGAUCAGGUAGGGAUACCCGCUGAACUUAAGCAUAUCAAUAAGCGGAGGA
This 331-nucleotide unclassified non-coding RNA is filed under the name soil metagenome. RNAcentral describes it as "partial contains 5.8S ribosomal RNA, internal transcribed spacer 2, and large subunit ribosomal RNA". The stretch from base 1 to 120 matches the Rfam family "5.8S ribosomal RNA", at positions 35 to 154 of the family's 154-position model. The record is from RNAcentral.